RNAcentral lists this ribosomal RNA (301 nucleotides) under uncultured bacterium. RNAcentral's name for it is "partial 16S ribosomal RNA". It matches the Rfam family "Bacterial small subunit ribosomal RNA", at positions 508 to 807 of the family's 1533-position model. The record is from RNAcentral.
CAGGUCGCCGCGGGAAUACGUAGGGUGCGAGCGUUAAUCGGAAUUACUGGGCGUAAAGCGUGCGCAGGCGGUUCGUUAAGACAGAUGUGAAAUCCCCGGGCUUAACCUGGGAACUGCAUUUGUGACUGGCGAGCUAGAGUAUGGCAGAUGGGGGUAGAAUUCCACGUGUAGCAGUGAAAUGCGUAGAGAUGUGGAGGAAUACCGAUGGCGAAGGCAGCCCCCUGGCCAAUACUGACGCUCAUGCACGAAAGCGUGGGGAGCAAACAGGAUUAGAGACCCCAGUAGUCCCUGUCUCUUAUAC